GACGAACGCUGGCGGCGUGCCUAAUACAUGCAAGUCGAGCGCAGGAAACUGACGGAACUCUUCGGAGGGAAGGCAGUGGAAUGAGCGGCGGACGGGUGAGUAACACGUAAGGAACCUGCCUCAAGGAUUGGGAUAACUCCGAGAAAUCGGAGCUAAUACCGGAUAGUUCAACGGACCGCAUGGUCCGCUGAUGAAAGGCGCUUCGGCGUCACCUUGAGAUGGCCUUGCGGUGCAUUAGCUAGUUGGUGGGGUAACGGCCCACCAAGGCGACGAUGCAUAGCCGACCUGGGGGGGUGAUCGGCCACACUGGGACUGAGACACGGCCCAGACUCCUACGGGAGGCAGCAGUAGGGAAUCUUCCACAAUGGACGAAAGUCUGAUGGAGCAACGCCGCGUGAGUGAUGAAGGUUUUCGGAUCGUAAAACUCUGUUGUAAGGGAAGAACACGUACGAGAGGAAAUGCUCGUACCUUGACGGUACCUUACGAGAAAGCCACGGCUAACUACGUGCCAGCAGCCGCCGUAA
Molecule: ribosomal RNA, 524 nt
Filed under: uncultured bacterium
Lineage: Bacteria
Description: partial 16S ribosomal RNA
Rfam family: Bacterial small subunit ribosomal RNA
Source: RNAcentral